UACGUAGGGUGCAAGCGUUGUCCGGAAUUAUUGGGCGUAAAGAGCUCGUAGGCGGUCUGCCGCGUCGGAUGUGAAAAUCCAGGGCUCAACCCUGGACCUGCAUUCGAUACGGGCAGACUAGAGUUCGGUAGGGGAGACUGGAAUUCCUGGUGUAGCGGUGAAAUGCACAGAUAUCAGGAGGAACACCGAUGGCGAAGGCAGGUCUCUGGGCCGCAACUGACGCUGAGGAGCGAAAGCAUGGGGAGCGAACAGG
Molecule: ribosomal RNA, 253 nt
Filed under: uncultured bacterium
Lineage: Bacteria
Description: partial 16S ribosomal RNA
Rfam family: Bacterial small subunit ribosomal RNA
Source: RNAcentral